Molecule: transfer RNA, 75 nt
Filed under: Oscillospiraceae bacterium
Lineage: Bacteria; Bacillati; Bacillota; Clostridia; Eubacteriales; Oscillospiraceae
Description: tRNA-Glu
Rfam family: tRNA
About the family: Transfer RNA (tRNA) molecules are approximately 80 nucleotides in length. Their secondary structure includes four short double-helical elements and three loops (D, anti-codon, and T loops).
Source: RNAcentral
GGCCCGUGGGUCAAGCGGUGAAGACACCGCCCUUUCACGGCGGUAACACGAGUUCGAGUCUCGUACGGGUCACCA